This 22-nucleotide microRNA is filed under the name Bos taurus (domestic cattle). RNAcentral describes it as "Bta-Mir-2285-P11_3p (mature (guide))". The record is from RNAcentral. Lineage: Eukaryota; Metazoa; Chordata; Mammalia; Artiodactyla; Bovidae.
AAAACCUCAAUGAACUCUUUGG